RNAcentral lists this ribosomal RNA (254 nucleotides) under uncultured bacterium. Its description in RNAcentral is "partial 16S ribosomal RNA". It matches the Rfam family "Bacterial small subunit ribosomal RNA", at positions 524 to 776 of the family's 1533-position model. The record is from RNAcentral.
UACGUAGGGUGCGAGCGUUGUCCGGAAUUACUGGGCGUAAAGAGCUCGUAGGCGGUGUGUCGCGUCGGCCGUGAAAACCUGCAGCUUAACUGUGGGCUUGCGGUCGAUACGGGCAUCACUGGAGUUCGGCAGGGGAGACUGGAAUUCCUGGUGUAGCGGUGAAAUGCGCAGAUAUCAGGAGGAGCACCGGUGGCGAAGGCGGGUCUCUGGGCCGAUACUGACGCUGAGGAGCGAAAGCGUGGGGAGCAAACAGG